GAGUUUGAUCUUGGCUCAGAUUGAACGCUGGCGGCAUGCCUUACACAUGCAAGUCGAACGGCAGCACGGGAGCUUGCUCCUGGUGGCGAGUGGCGAACGGGUGAGUAAUGCAUCGGAACGUAUCCUGGAGUGGGGGAUAACGUAGCGAAAGUUACGCUAAUACCGCAUAUUCUGUGAGCAGGAAAGCGGGGGACCUUCGGGCCUCGCGCUCUUGGAGCGGCCGAUGUCGGAUUAGCUAGUUGGUGAGGUAAAGGCUCACCAAGGCGACGAUCCGUAGCAGGUCUGAGAGGAUGAUCUGCCACACUGGAACUGAGACACGGUCCAGACUCCUAUGGGAGGCAGCAGUGGGGAAUUUUGGACAAUGGGGGCAACCCUGAUCCAGCCAUGCCGCGUGAGUGAAGAAGGCCU
RNAcentral lists this ribosomal RNA (408 nucleotides) under bacterium enrichment culture clone ALO1_GLFRUDD03G77NA. RNAcentral's name for it is "bacterial SSU rRNA". It matches the Rfam family "Bacterial small subunit ribosomal RNA", at positions 9 to 417 of the family's 1533-position model. The record is from RNAcentral.